UCUUUCCCUACACGACGCUCUUCCGAUCUGUGAAUUUAAGCAUAUUAUUAACCGGAGGAAAAGAAAAAAAAUUUGAUUUGACUAGUAGUGGCGAACGAAGAUCAAAGAGGUCAAAGGAAAAGGAAAGUUCUGUGUAAUCGGUUACUUUCGGUGCACCUUUAAAAGAAAAGGAGUUGGUUGUGUCAGACGGUUCGUGAAUUCAAAUGGAAAUUUGAAAGAGAAAAGGUGAAAUUCCUGUAAUGAACUGUGUGGCGCACAAAUCUCUCUUUUUCAUUGAGUAGAUAAUAUUGGGAAUUAUUAUUAAAUUUGGAGGUAAAUUUCUUCAAAACCUAAAUAUAAAAUGGAGACCGAUAGCAAAGAAGUACUGCGAAGGAAAGUUGAAAAGAAUUGUGAAAACAAAGUUAAAAGUACCUGAAAUUGUGUAAAUGGAACAGAAUGGGAAGUGAUUUAUGGCUAGGUCGAGUUUUAAUUCGGCAGAGUCAAAUAAGGGCAUGGAGUCGGGGAGAAGAAAGCGUUUGAUCGGAUGCAGCAAACUUGCUGUAGUUACGGCGGGCGUGUAACUGUCCUGGCUCCGUGAGGAAAAUAUUGAAGAUCCAAAUGUACUUUCGGGUUCGCACUGUAUGUGCUACUUUUAUUACUCCUAGAGUGGUUUGAGUAGUCAUGUGCGUUGCGGGUUUGAUGUAACAAAUCUUCUAAGCCUACUUAUAAAAUUUAUCAGUUCUUAUUCAUCUCGUCUUGUAACACGAACCAAGGAGUGUAUCAAAGUUAAGAGUAUUAUGGUGUAAAAACCAACAAUGCGUAAUGAAAGUGAAAGAGAUAACGGAUGUCUAAUCAAGGCAUCUUCAUAUUUUACCGGUCUUUAUUUUUUUGAUAGAUCUGAGUUUAAUUAAUUUUGAUACAACCCGAAAGAUGAUGAUCUUUACGUGAAUAGGAUAAAGUCUGGUGAAAACCAGAUGGAAGUCCGACGGGCGUUCUGACGUGCAAAUCGAUGCUCUAAUUUACGUAAAGGGGCGAAAUACUCAUCGAAUCAUUUAGUUGCUGGUUUUCUUCGAAGUUUCCCCCAGGAUAGCAGAGUUUGAAUUUAAAGAGUUGGAUUUGGUAAAGCGAAUAAUUAGGUGAUUUGGGGAAGAAUUUUCCUCUGCACAUUCUUAAACUUUAAAUGGGUCCGAAAUAAAAGUUGCUUAGUUGAACUUUUAUAAAGAAUCGAUAAACUCUAGUGGGCCUUUUCUUGGUAAGCAGGACGGGCGAUUUGGGAUGCUCCAAUCGUUGAGAUAAAGUGCAAAAGUAAUCGUUAAUCUAGACCCCAAAAAAGUGGUAUUAGGUCUAAGACAAUUGGGCGGUGGACAUGGAAGCUGUCAUCUGUUAAUUAAUGCGUAAUAGCUAACCAAUCGAGACCUAAUGCGCUGAAAAUGGAUUGCGCUAAAACGAUUCACUUAAACUCAACCAUGAGACUUAAAUAUGUUUUAAUUUCAUGAGUAGAAGAACGUGAUGAUUUUGAAGAAGCUUUGGUGUGAACUGAAGUGGAAGAAUCAUUAGUGCAGAUCUUGGUGGUAGUAGUAAUUACAAAUAUGAGAACUAUUUGAGCCGAAGUUGAAAAUGGUUUCAGAUGAAGAGCAUUUCGAUCUGAGUUAGUCGAUCCUAAAAGAUUCGUUAAAUACGAUAAAAAGUGAAAAGGAUUUAUAUCUAUAAAAGCCUUUAUCGAAUUGAAAGGGAAACUGGUUAAAAUUCCAGUACUUGAUUUGGCCGUCUGGGGGCAACUCUGGGCGGUGUUGGGAUAAUAAUAAUGUUUCGGUGACGAAAAUGAACUUUGAGACUAUGGGUUAAGGAGAGAAUAGAAAUCUCUUUUCUAUUUAAGAGGAAAAAAGUAAAUGCAAGGUUUUGCUCUUUGGCUCGCAAGGGCUGGGGAAACGGAACCGAGCUUGAUCAGCUUGAGUUGUUGCAAAUUAAUUUUAUAUUUUGACCAACAAUAAGUCCUCAAAGAUUAGGGUUAUUUUUUAUACCUUAAUUUCUCUUCCCUUUUCACGUAUCAUAAAAAUCAAAGGGAAAGAAUAAUUUUCCAAUCAAGUCGUACAAUAAUCCGCAACAGGUUUCAAAGUUUAAUAGACUCUGGCUAAGGGCAUAAUGUAAGUAAGGGAAGUCGGCAAACUAGCAUUGUAACUUCGGGAUAAAAUGUGGCUCUUGUGGAAAAGAUAUUGUGUAGUAAAGGUUUUAAUCAGCAGGCGAAGAGAUUUUUUGGAAUCCUUACUGGUUCUGCGCAAGUGGGACUGGUUUGGGAGCUGAGAUUUUUUAUUGUGUGUUGAUCCUUUGCUUCCUGCGGGGCAACUCGUGGGGUCCAACUCGGUAUCAACUAAUUUCUAAACAAGAACUGAUGCUUUCAAGGAGAAUCCGACUGUUUAAUUAAAACAAAGCAUUUCGACGAAUUUAAAAAGUUUUUAACGAAAUGUGAUUUCUGCUCAGUGCUCUGAAUGUUAAUGUGGAGAAAUUCGAAUAAGCGCGAGUCAACAGCGGGAGUAACUAUGACUCUCUUAAGGUAGCCAAAUGCCUCGUCAUCUAAUUAGUGACGCGCAUGAAUGGAUUAACGAGAUUCUCACUGUCCCUAUUUACGCGCUCGCGAACCCACAGCAAAGGGAACGGGCUUUGCAAAAACAGCGGGGAAAGAAGCCCCUGUUGAGCUUGACUCUAGUUUGAUAUGAAAAAUGAUUUUGAAGGUGUAGAAUAAGUGGGAGUCGUAAGACAAAAUUGAAAUACCACUACUUUGAAUAUUGUUCUUCUCAUUGCAUGAAGAAAAGUUUCGUAAAGCAGUUGUAAAAAGGCUGUUUUUAAUUUUUGACUUAAGUACUGAACACGCUCUUGUAACGGCACCUCAUAUAUUGGCCUUUUUUCUGGAAGUAAGAAUUAUUGUGCAGAUCGUUAGAUUUUAAGCUGUAAGGUGCGAGUAAAAUCCACUUUAUAGCUUGUCUAGCGUCAUUUGCAUUGUAAAUUUUAUAUUCAGAUUUUAGUGUUUACAACGAAUGAGGGCUAGCAGGAG
This 3028-nucleotide ribosomal RNA is filed under the name seawater metagenome. RNAcentral's name for it is "eukaryotic LSU rRNA". It matches the Rfam family "Eukaryotic large subunit ribosomal RNA", at positions 1 to 2584 of the family's 3401-position model. The record is from RNAcentral.